This 225-nucleotide unclassified non-coding RNA is filed under the name Hevea brasiliensis (rubber tree). Lineage: Eukaryota; Viridiplantae; Streptophyta; Magnoliopsida; Malpighiales; Euphorbiaceae. The record is from RNAcentral.
UCAUGACAAAAUCUCAAACCUCUUCACCAACUCCUCAUAAAUAUUUACAAGAAGAUGAUGUAAGUGAAGAUUGUAAGAAAUUGCUUUCUACCCUACCAAAAGAAAGAGGAUGGGUUGGAUCUUAUGUGUAUAAUUAUCAAGGCUUUUGGGCAUUACCAAGACUUAUCCAAGGGGUGAUUGCAUGUCAACGACAAUAUCAAGCUCAAGAUAAUGAUAUCAUUCUCG